GACCUCCUGGCUCUCUGGAAUGGGAGUCACAGCAUAUAUCUGCAAAUCUAGGAUUCAAGAGUCAAGGAGAGAACCUGACUUGGCAAACUCCAUGGAAGUCUGGCUUGGGCUGAGCUAUGGCAGAGAGAAGAGGAUGGGUAACAAUCUUCUGUUUCCAUUUCAGUUGAAGUCAUUAAAAAAAUUACCAAGAAGACGCCAGGAACUCAGUUCUAGCAAAUCACUUCUCAAACUACAGGUCUUGAACUAGUUCUAGGGACAGGAUGCCAAGAGAUGAACAGCAAUGUUUUCAUAUAAAACUGCAGUGCCUGCCAGAGUCAACAUGAUGGACUGAAGUUAAAACAAGCUUUUUCUCUUUCGUUUUCAUGUUAGGAGAAGUAUCGAUGAACUGCUGACAUGAAAUACUGUGCCAAAAGGACAGAGUCAGUUCCUGCCAGUUGAAUAAAUUCCUUGUUGGGAUAUAAGGGAUUUUAUGAGCUGUUACAGGUUUAUGGUAUUAUCUCUUAAAUGGCUACCUCAAAAUUAAAAGGCAAUAUUGUACUCUUUUUUUUAAUGUAUAAAAACUGAUGAUCCUAUUUUAGAAACCCUGAAGAACUGAAGCACUCAGCAGGAUCUUGUGUAUUACAAGAUGACACAAACGUUCAUGUUGCUCAAGAGUAAGGACUUGGAGGGCAAGGAGGACUUGUUUGAACCUAAGAGCAAAGCAGAUAUAAAACAUUUGGUUCAGAGAAACAGAAUACUCAACUCCUUGAGCUCUUAGGUACUGAAACGUUGAUCUAAGUCCAGCAAAUAAAAACACAUUGCUGAAGCUAAAGAGAGGUGACACCUACAGAAUUUGGCCCUAAAUUAUUUAGAAAUAGGUCAGCCAUUCCUACAGAUUUGCAGAUUAUGGGACUAAGAAUGGUAUAUUGUUACAGAAACUUAUGUGUAAGUGGAAACUCUUCAAACAGGGUGGAGAUUUUCCACAAUAAACUAAAAGUGUUAAUCCUGGAUUAGAUUGUAUAUUUCAUAUGUGGUAUUUAAAACAGAUCAAGUGCUCACUUUUUUAUAUUAAAUAAAAGCAUUACACAAAUCAA
Molecule: long non-coding RNA, 1073 nt
Organism: Homo sapiens (human)
Lineage: Eukaryota; Metazoa; Chordata; Mammalia; Primates; Hominidae
Exons: 2
Source: RefSeq, a predicted model, not a curated record